GAAGGUCCUGCCUGCCCAGUGACUAUUAGUUAAACGGCCGCGGUAUUUUGACCGUGCUAAGGUAGCGCAAUCACUUGUCUUUUAAAUGAAGACCUGUAUGAAUGGUGGAACGAGGGCUUAACUGUCUCCCCUUUUCAGUCAAUGAAAUUGAUCUGUCCGUGCAGAAGCGGACAUAACAAUACAAGACGAGAAGACCCUUUGGAGCUUUAGACACAAGGCCAAUUGCGUUAAUUUAACCCUAACUAAACAGGAAAAACAAAGCAACUACUGACCCACGUCUUCGGUUGGGGCGACCGCGGGGAAAACAAAGCCCCCAUGUGGAAUAGGAGCCAUCCUAAGCUAAGAAAGACACUUCCAAGCCACAGAACAUCUGACCAAAAGAUCCGGCAACCGCCGAUCAACGAACCAAGUUACCCUAGGGAUAACAGCGCAAUCCCCUCCAAGAGUUCAUAUCGACAAGGGGGUUUACGACCUCGAUGUUGGAUCAGGACAUCCUAAUGGUGCAGCCGCUAUUAAGGG
This 519-nucleotide ribosomal RNA is filed under the name Hepsetus odoe (African pike characin). RNAcentral describes it as "LSU rRNA". It matches the Rfam family "Bacterial large subunit ribosomal RNA", at positions 1848 to 2571 of the family's 2925-position model. Lineage: Eukaryota; Metazoa; Chordata; Actinopteri; Characiformes; Hepsetidae. The record is from RNAcentral.